AGCUUUGCGCAGUGGCAGUAUCGUAGCCAAUGAGGUUUAUCCGAGGCGCGAUUAUUGCUAAUUGAAAACAUAUAAUCGACAUUAAGCAAAGCUUUUUAGGGUCCUCAAUUUUUCAAAAGAAUUUUUUAUU
This is a small nuclear RNA of Panthera leo (lion), 130 nucleotides long. Its record names the gene U4. It matches the Rfam family "U4 spliceosomal RNA". From Rfam's summary of the family: U4 small nuclear RNA (U4 snRNA) is a component of the major U2-dependent spliceosome. The structure of U4 snRNA from yeast and human has been reported. Lineage: Eukaryota; Metazoa; Chordata; Mammalia; Carnivora; Felidae. The record is from Ensembl.